AUUUUAUAUAUUAUAUUUUAUAUAUUACAUUUUAUAUUUUAUAUAUUAUAUUUUAUAUUAUAUUUUCUUUUAUAUUUAAAUUUAUCAUUAAUUGAGACACAUGCAUGUUUUGAUAUGUUAAUCAUUCACCUUUAGAAUAACUGGAAGUUCGACUCAUAUGUACAGUAUUUGUUUUUUGUAUCUUCAAAAUUAUGUCGAGCAUGUUCAUUGCUUAUAUGUUCAUUGCUAACAGUGCUAAUGGCUGACUAGGAUGGUGCUUUGACAUCCCAAGUGCCAAAACUCGUAGAUAUAUGAACAGUAGGCUUUGCUUAACAAGUGCCAUCAUCAUAACGUCAUCACAAUAUCAUAAUAUUUAUGUAUACUACAGAAUGCACUAAUUAGAACCAACUAUUGGGAACCAGGAUUUCAUAUUCAUUUGCACUAAGGUCUUCUUUGUUUAAAGAUUUAAG
Biomphalaria pfeifferi is the source of this 449-nucleotide non-coding RNA. The record is from the annotation of a GenBank genome assembly. Lineage: Eukaryota; Metazoa; Mollusca; Gastropoda; Planorbidae.